This is a long non-coding RNA of Sinocyclocheilus grahami, 84 nucleotides long. RefSeq lists it as uncharacterized. The record is from RefSeq and is a predicted model, not a curated record. Lineage: Eukaryota; Metazoa; Chordata; Actinopteri; Cypriniformes; Cyprinidae. The transcript is spliced from 2 exons.
CUGUUAGGUGCAUGUCUUUCCACACAUGCCUUGAGAUUUCCAGAGGUUCCUACUUUAAACCAGGUUUACCGUGAAGAAACUGGG